CCUUGUACACACCGCCCGUCACGUCACGAAAGUCGGUAACACCCGAAGCCAGUGGCUCAACCCCCUUGUGGGGAGGGAGCUGUCGAAGGUGGGAUCGGCGAUUGGGACG
RNAcentral lists this ribosomal RNA (109 nucleotides) under uncultured bacterium. RNAcentral describes it as "partial 16S ribosomal RNA". It matches the Rfam family "Bacterial small subunit ribosomal RNA", at positions 1379 to 1482 of the family's 1533-position model. The record is from RNAcentral.